CCUACAACAGUGUUGCAACUGGAGAUUUCCGCCUCGCCGCUACUAGGAUUCUCUCGUCACUGCCAACACCUCACUGAAAUUAGGGUUCAUAACCUUUGGUCCUUGUUGAUUCUUCUGGCUCUGUUUCUCCAAAUCGAGUCUAUCAAAGUCAGGAGGAGGAGGUUUGCUUUAAAGGCUAGAGCAUGAGGAUGAUUCUGAUUUUCGUAUAGAAUGUCGAGUUGGUUUGAUAAGUGACGAGGAAUUUGACUGUUAAAGCAGCUGUCUUGGACUACAAAAGCAGAGAGGCAAUUACUAGCAGCGGUCUUCUAUUACUAGACCGCAUUGAAACUCUAUCUUAGUUGAGGAAUUUGACUGUUAAAGCAGCUGUCUUGGAUUAGGCCACCCAUCUAGUUUUCAUGUUUUGUUAUUGCCUCUCUGCUUUUGUUUCUUCAUAAGCUGAUCUCUCUCUUGAUCAGGCCAUUGAGACUAAGUUGCAAGAGUGUUUGAAGAAGGGUGUUUAUGGUGACAUAUACAAUUACUCGGAGCUUGACUGGAACAAGGUUCUUGGUGAAGAAAACCAGUGGCAGAGGGUGUUGAGGAAGAAGAGGAAAAGGUCAUUUUGUCUAACUGUUUUCUCUGUUUUGUUCAAAAUGUUUAUUGCUGAAUGAAGAACUAGCAGGAGCCAGAGAUUGAAUAUGUUAUGCCAUUAGAGACCACGAUGAUUGUUUUGUUGCUGAAUGCUUGUUGUCGAGUCUACAGAACUUUGGGAGACCACGAGAUAUAGAUAUUGUGGUUUAUAUCUUGCAAAGGGCUCGUAAUGGUGAUUUGCCUUGAGACAUGAGUAGCGAUGGCAGCAAGAUCUUUCUCAUCAGGGUGCUGUAACGUUAAUGGAACCUAAUGAAGAUUAUGUUUAGAUUAGUUUUAGAUUUUUCUUUUAAUUUAUUUUGGUGUAAACCUUUUGGUUUACUUUGAUAAACCGAUUAUAAUUUUGUAAACAAAUUUGAAACCCCAUAAAGAAAAUCUAAUAUUAUUAUGAAAUGUUAACCUUAA
This is a long non-coding RNA of Raphanus sativus (radish), 1029 nucleotides long. RefSeq lists it as uncharacterized. The transcript has 3 exons. NCBI's taxonomy places the organism in Eukaryota, Viridiplantae, Streptophyta, Magnoliopsida, Brassicales, Brassicaceae. The record is from RefSeq and is a predicted model, not a curated record.